RNAcentral lists this ribosomal RNA (433 nucleotides) under uncultured bacterium. Its description in RNAcentral is "partial 16S ribosomal RNA". It matches the Rfam family "Bacterial small subunit ribosomal RNA", at positions 29 to 507 of the family's 1533-position model. The record is from RNAcentral.
AACGAACGCUGGCGGCAUGCCUAACACAUGCAAGUCGAACGAGACCUUCGGGUCUAGUGGCGCACGGGUGCGUAACGCGUGGGAACCUGCCCUUAGGUUCGGCAUAACUCCCCGAAAGGGGUGCUAAUACCGGAUAAUGUCUUCGGACCAAAGAUUUAUCGCCUUUGGAUGGGCCCGCGUUGGAUUAGCUAGUUGGUAGGGUAAAAGCCUACCAAGGCGACGAUCCAUAGCUGGUCUGAGAGGAUGAUCAGCCACACUGGGACUGAGACACGGCCCAGACUCAUCCGGGAGGAAGCAGUGGGGAAUAUUGGAAAAUGGGCGAAAGCCUGAUCAAGCAAUGCCGCGUGAGUGAUGAAGGCCUUAGGGUUGUAAAGCUCUUUUACCCGGGAUGAUAAUGACAGUACCGGGAGAAUAAGCUCCGGCUAACUCCGUG